GUCCACGCCCUAAACGAUGUCUACUAGUUGUCGGGGAUUCGUUUCCUUGGUAACGCAGCUAACGCGUGAAGUAGACCGCCUGGGGAGUACGGCCGCAAGGGUUAAAACUCAAAGGAAUUGACGGGGACCCGCACAAGCGGUGGAUGAUGUGGAUUAAUUCGAUGCAACGCGAAAACCUUACCUACGCUUGACAUGCCAGAAACCCCCGCAGAGAUGUGGGGGUGCCCGAAAGGGAAUCUGGACACAGGUGCUGCAUGGCUGUCGU
RNAcentral lists this ribosomal RNA (265 nucleotides) under uncultured bacterium. RNAcentral's name for it is "partial 16S ribosomal RNA". It matches the Rfam family "Bacterial small subunit ribosomal RNA", at positions 793 to 1055 of the family's 1533-position model. The record is from RNAcentral.